This 301-nucleotide ribosomal RNA is filed under the name uncultured bacterium. RNAcentral describes it as "partial 16S ribosomal RNA". It matches the Rfam family "Bacterial small subunit ribosomal RNA", at positions 509 to 810 of the family's 1533-position model. The record is from RNAcentral.
CAGUCGCCGCGGUAAAACGUAGGGGGCAAGCGUUAUCCGGAAUAACUGGGCGUAAAGGGUGCGCAGGUGGUUUAACAAGUUAGUGGUGAAAGGCAUAGGCUCAACCAAUGUAAGCCAUUAAAACUGUUUAACUUGAGUGCAGGAGAGGAAAGUGGAAUUCCUAGUGUAGCGGUGAAAUGCGUAGAUAUUAGGAGGAAUACCAGUGGCGAAGGCGACUUUCUGGACUGCAACUGACACUGAGGCACGAAAGCGUGGGGAGCAAACAGGAUUAGAGACCCCCGUAGUCCCUGUCCUUAUACAC